AUUUAUAUAUAUAUUCUUGGCUUUGUACCCAAGCCGCCAAAAUCAGGUCCUCCACAUUCUUCUCUCCAAAUUCCAAAAGCCCAACAAAACAAACACCGAAAACAUAAAACAAACAAAGCCAACGUCUCUCUCUCUCUCUCUCUCUCUCUCUCUCCUUUCCUCUCUGUCCAUCUGAAAAGAAAUCGAGGAAUUGUAACCAAAAACAGCAGAACGAGCAUCAACAGGUAACAAGAAACGGAAACCAACCCUUAUUAAAAUCUUUUGACCUGCAACUUCUUCUAAUUAUUCCUACCACCACCACUACUCCCAAUUGGCGUUUUCCGAUCAUCUCUUUUUCUUCUCCACAGCCAUCAUCAUCGGAUUUUGAACGGUCAGGAUUGUUUCUGUUCUUUUCUAUUUUCAUUGGUAAUAGUGAAGUUUUGAAUUUGGGAAUUGAGAAGCUCUUUGCUUUUCAUCUUUUCUAGCCCUAAAUUUUGAGGUCAAGAUUGUUUCAAUCUUGAUCUAUCAAAACCCUUUUGUUGUAACUGGUAAAGGUGAGAGGAAAACUCUCAAUUCCUUUAAUUGUUCUCGUUUUAUGAGCUGGGUCGAUGGCGGAAUUCGAAAAUAAC
This 608-nucleotide unclassified non-coding RNA is filed under the name Hevea brasiliensis (rubber tree). The record is from RNAcentral. Lineage: Eukaryota; Viridiplantae; Streptophyta; Magnoliopsida; Malpighiales; Euphorbiaceae.